GGCAAAUCAUUUCAGCCUCAGUGCCUCACCGAGUAACCAAUCGCCUUCAUCUCUAUUCUCGUUCUCCACUCUGAACUUGCGCCUCUCUCUCUCUCUCUCUCUCUCUCUCUCUCUCUCUCUGCAACUGCAACUGCAACUGCAACCUACAAAAUCUACAAGAAUCAGAAGUUCAAAACCCAUAUAUUUCAGUUUAUCUAUCUGUCUGCAAGAAUCAAAAGUUCAAAACCCAUAUCGGAAACCCAAAUCUUUCAGUUUCCAUCGCCCGCUGUUCCAGAUCGGGUUCGCCGUUCGCAAGCUUCGGCCGCUGUCUCUCAAGCUUGCCCCCCUCUCUCUCUGCAACUGCUAACUUUGUUAUCAUCGGGCCUUAACAUUUAGCAAGAACAAGGUUCAAGAAACAUGUCUCCUCAGUCAUCAGGUCUCUUUUCUAAAAGAAGAGAGUUGAUGGGAAUGGGUGGAGUAUGGCAAAAGAAUACAGGUGGCCUUUUGAAUGCUGGAAGGAUUGGCAGGGAGGGUCAAAAUGAUACCUAUGAAGGGUUGCCCAUGUAUGUCCUAGAUGGAGUUGAACCUGAUUUAAUAGACACUACUGGAAAUGUUAGGUUGCAAUACUUACGAUGAAUUUGCAAGAAGAUUGCAUGAAUCGUGGGCAAAAGUUUUGAAUGAAGAACAUCUUGCGAUUGUUCCACCUAUGCCGUUGACCUGUCCAACUAACAACUUGAAAUUUGAUUAUUUUGAUGUGUUGGAGGUAGUGCGCAUUGAUUUGUCUCCAUAUGCAGCGGACUGGGAUGAAUUUGGAUCUACGUUGGAUCGAGUAUUGACAACUCCUAGUAAUUGAGCAGAAACUGCGGGAAGAACUACGAAUAGAGGGUAAGAAGACAGACUUUUUUUUGGAGGUUGAUGCUGUUCUAAGUUGAUUGAUAACCUUCGUUCAUUUUCAAAACAAGGCAUUUUUAGAUCUUUUACUUAUACUAAAAUACCUCAAUCAAUGUAUCUUUUAAGUCACUAACCCCUUUUAAUGUAUAAAGAAUGAAUCUUUGAAAGAAAAUGAGAGUUUUUAGUUAAACUUAUUUGAGUUUCUUUGAAGGUACAAAGAGUUUUAAUGAGGAAAGAUUGAAUCUUUGAAUGAAAAUACGUCAAUUAAUGUACCUAUUAUGUCACCAGACCUUUUUAAUUUAUAAAGAUUGAAUUUUUGAGAAAAAGUGAGACAUUGAGUUAAACUUAUUCGAGUUUCUUAUGAAGUCGCGAGGAGUGUAUAGUCAUUACUGCGCUUAAUGAGCGCUGGUAAAGGAAAUCACAAUCCCUUAAUCUAUUCUUGACCUUUGAUACCACAGCAUCCUCAAAUGAAAAACCUUAAUCCUUACCAAAGGGUCUUUGGUUUAAUGGUAUAACCUCCUCAUCUUCAAAGAAGAGGGGAGGGGUUCGAGCCUAGGCGUGAGCAAAAAUGUGUGUGUGUUUGCUUUACCAUUAAAAAAAAAAAAAAAAAAAAAAAA
Molecule: long non-coding RNA, 1487 nt
Organism: Cornus florida
Lineage: Eukaryota; Viridiplantae; Streptophyta; Magnoliopsida; Cornales; Cornaceae
Exons: 4
Source: RefSeq, a predicted model, not a curated record